GAGCUGAUUCUAUGGAGUGGGACUUGCUUCAGUGGGGCUUUGGUGCUCACUGAGUCCGCCCCUUAAGUAUGUCACU
Molecule: microRNA precursor, 76 nt
Filed under: Myotis myotis
Lineage: Eukaryota; Metazoa; Chordata; Mammalia; Chiroptera; Vespertilionidae
Also listed under: 1 other name
Description: mir-9229 microRNA precursor family
Rfam family: mir-9229 microRNA precursor family
Source: Rfam by way of RNAcentral